This 675-nucleotide long non-coding RNA is filed under the name Aquilegia coerulea. Its description in RNAcentral is "long non-coding RNA (ACOE_LNC000584)". Lineage: Eukaryota; Viridiplantae; Streptophyta; Magnoliopsida; Ranunculales; Ranunculaceae. The record is from RNAcentral.
GCGACUACUUCCAUUUGAAGGUAAUUUCAUUCAUCAUUCAUUUGCAUAUUGUGAUUAUAACUGGCAUUAAUCUGUUGUAUGUUGUGAAAGUGGUGCUUAAUGAACUUCUUUUAAAAAAUUCAUUUAAUUGUAUUAAACCAGCUAAACAACCAAAGUUUUCUAGCAAUUGUAGGAACCUGUAGCUUUAUUCAGACCCACCAAACUUAUAAAUUGUGUCUGAUAUUAAAUCUUUUUUUUUGGAGUUGGAUAUUUCUUUCGGCCAACUGUGAGCUUUGACGACUUCAUGUGACAGGAGAACUUAAUCUUUUUCUGUAAAUUGAUAUGGAUGCAGUUUGUGAGUGGCUCGUAUGACCAUCUUUCAAACUCUUUGAUGGGUGAUUUCAAUUUGAUUGUGCAGGUUACCUUGUGAGAAUGAUGAUCUUCUAGGUGAUGAUGAGGUUAGCUUGGGAUUAGAUGUUUGUUGUCAUCAUUCCAGGGUUGUUGAAAAUUUUAAUUUUUAGAAUAGUGAAGCAUUUGAAUGAUGUAAAACUUUAUGAUAAACAUUUUUAUUUUUGAAAGUGAUGUAAUUUGUACAUGAAUUUGGAUGUUAAUAAAAUUUCAAUUUUCUGUGUUCUUCAAAUUUUCUGCUUCUUCCAAUGGAUUUCUGCUUUGUAGAAAGCAAAGGCGUUUUUUUUU